RNAcentral lists this ribosomal RNA (164 nucleotides) under uncultured bacterium. RNAcentral's name for it is "partial 16S rRNA". It matches the Rfam family "Bacterial small subunit ribosomal RNA", at positions 355 to 511 of the family's 1533-position model. The record is from RNAcentral.
UAGGGAAUCUUCGGCAAUGGGGCAACCCUGACCGAGCAACGCCGCGUGAGUGAAGAAGGUUUUCGGAUCGUAAAGCUCUGUUGUAAGAGAAGAACGUGUGUGAGAGUGGAAAGUUCACACAGUGACGGUAACUUACCAGAAAGGGACGGCUAACUACGUCCCAG